UACGGAGGUGGCAAGCGUUACUCGGAUUCAUUGGGUGUAAAGGGCAGGUAGGUGGCUUGAUAAGUGGAAGGUGAAAUCCCGUUGCUCAACAGCGGAACUGCCUUUCAAACUAUCGGGCUUGAGAUUGGAAGAGGAGAAUGGAAUUCCCGGUGUAAGGGUGAAAUCUGUAGAUAUCGGGAAGAACACCAGUGGCGAAAGCGAUUCUCUAGUCCAAAUCUGACACUGAGCUGCGAAAGCUAGGGGAGCAAACAGG
This 253-nucleotide ribosomal RNA is filed under the name uncultured bacterium. RNAcentral describes it as "partial 16S ribosomal RNA". It matches the Rfam family "Bacterial small subunit ribosomal RNA", at positions 524 to 776 of the family's 1533-position model. The record is from RNAcentral.